This 253-nucleotide ribosomal RNA is filed under the name uncultured bacterium. RNAcentral's name for it is "partial 16S ribosomal RNA". It matches the Rfam family "Bacterial small subunit ribosomal RNA", at positions 524 to 776 of the family's 1533-position model. The record is from RNAcentral.
UACGUAGGUGACAAGCGUUGUCCGGAUUUACUGGGCGUAAAGAGCGCGCAGGCGGUCGAUCAAGUCGAGUGUGAAAGCCCCCGGCUCAACUGGGGAGGGUCAUUCGAUACUGAUCGACUCGAAGGCAGGAGAGGGUAGUGGAAUUCCUGGUGUAGCGGUGAAAUGCGCAGAUAUCAGGAAGAACACCCGUGGCGAAGGCGGCUCUCUGGGACGGUACUGACGCUGAGACGCGAAAGCGUGGGGAGCGAACAGG